RNAcentral lists this ribosomal RNA (700 nucleotides) under uncultured bacterium. RNAcentral's name for it is "bacterial SSU rRNA". It matches the Rfam family "Bacterial small subunit ribosomal RNA", at positions 8 to 702 of the family's 1533-position model. The record is from RNAcentral.
AGAGUUUGAUCAUGGCUCAGAUUGAACGCUGGCGGCAGGCUUAACACAUGCAAGUCGAGCGGAGCGAGGGUGCUUGCACCUUAGCUUAGCGGCGGACGGGUGAGUAAUGCUUAGGAAUCUGCCUAUUAGUGGGGGACAACGUUUCGAAAGGAACGCUAAUACCGCAUACGUCCUACGGGAGAAAGCAGGGGAUCUUCGGACCUUGCGCUAAUAGAUGAGCCUAAGUCGGAUUAGCUAGUUGGUGGGGUAAAGGCCUACCAAGGCGACGAUCUGUAGCGGGUCUGAGAGGAUGAUCCGCCACACUGGGACUGAGACACGGCCCAGACUCCUACGGGAGGCAGCAGUGGGGAAUAUUGGACAAUGGGGGGAACCCUGAUCCAGCCAUGCCGCGUGUGUGAAGAAGGCCUUUUGGUUGUAAAGCACUUUAAGCGAGGAGGAGGCUUACCUAGUUAAUACCUGGGAUAAGUGGACGUUACUCGCAGAAUAAGCACCGGCUAACUCUGUGCCAGCAGCCGCGGUAAUACAGAGGGUGCGAGCGUUAAUCGGAUUUACUGGGCGUAAAGCGUGCGUAGGCGGCUUUUUAAGUCGGAUGUGAAAUCCCCGAGCUUAACUUGGGAAUUGCAUUCGAUACUGGGAAGCUAGAGUAUGGGAGAGGAUGGUAGAAUUCCAGGUGUAGCGGUGAAAUGCGUAGAGAUCUGGA